GGUUAAGCGACUAAGCGUACACGGUGGAUGCCCCGGCAGUCAGAGGCGAUGAAGGACGUGCUAAUCUGCGAUAAGCGUCGGUAAGGUGAUAUGAACCGUUAUAACCGGCGAUUUCCGAAUGGGGAAACCCAGUGUGAUUCGUCACACUAUCAUUAACUGAAUCCAUAGGUUAAUGAGGCGAACCGGGGAACUGAAACAUCUAAGUACCCCGAGGAAAAGAAAUCAACCGAGAUUCCCCCAGUAGCGGCGAGCGAACGGGGAGCAGCCCAGAGCCUGAAUCAGUGUGUGUGUUAGUGGAAGCGUCUGGAAAGGCGCGCGAUACAGGGUGACAGCCCCGUACACAAAAAUGCACAUACUGUGAGCUCGAUGAGUAGGGCGGGACACGUGGUAUCCUGUCUGAAUAUGGGGGACCAUCCUCCAAGGCUAAAUACUCCUGACUGACCGAUAGUGAACCAGUACCGUGAGGGAAAGGCGAAAAGAACCCCGGCGAGGGGAGUGAAAAAGAACCUGAAACCGUGUACGUACAAGCAGUGGGAGCACAGAGCAAUCUGUGUGACUGCGUACCUUUUGUAUAAUGGGUCAGCGACUUAUAUUCUGUAGCAAGGUUAACCGAAUAGGGGAGCCGAAGGGAAACCGAGUCUUAACUGGGCGUUAAGUUGCAGGGUAUAGACCCGAAACCCGGUGAUCUAGCCAUGGGCAGGUUGAAGGUUGGGUAACACUAACUGGAGGACCGAACCGACUAAUGUUGAAAAAUUAGCGGAUGACUUGUGGCUGGGGGUGAAAGGCCAAUCAAACCGGGAGAUAGCUGGUUCUCCCCGAAAGCUAUUUAGGUAGCGCCUCGUGAAUUCAUCUCCGGGGGUAGAGCACUGUUUCGGCAAGGGGGUCAUCCCGACUUACCAACCCGAUGCAAACUGCGAAUACCGGAGAAUGUUAUCACGGGAGACACACGGCGGGUGCUAACGUCCGUCGUGAAGAGGGAAACAACCCAGACCGCCAGCUAAGGUCCCAAAGUCAUGGUUAAGUGGGAAACGAUGUGGGAAGGCCCAGACAGCCAGGAUGUUGGCUUAGAAGCAGCCAUCAUUUAAAGAAAGCGUAAUAGCUCACUGGUCGAGUCGGCCUGCGCGGAAGAUGUAACGGGGCUAAACCAUGCACCGAAGCUGCGGCAGCGACGCUGAUGCGUUGUUGGGUAGGGGAGCGUUCUGUAAGCCUGUGAAGGUGUGCUGUGAGGCAUGCUGGAGGUAUCAGAAGUGCGAAUGCUGACAUAAGUAACGAUAAAGCGGGUGAAAAGCCCGCUCGCCGGAAGACCAAGGGUUCCUGUCCAACGUUAAUCGGGGCAGGGUGAGUCGACCCCUAAGGCGAGGCCGAAAGGCGUAGUCGAUGGGAAACAGGUUAAUAUUCCUGUACUUGGUGUUACUGCGAAGGGGGGACGGAGAAGGCUAUGUUGGCCGGGCGACGGUUGUCCCGGUUUAAGCGUGUAGGCUGGUUUUCCAGGCAAAUCCGGAAAAUCAAGGCUGAGGCGUGAUGACGAGGCACUACGGUGCUGAAGCAACAAAUGCCCUGCUUCCAGGAAAAGCCUCUAAGCAUCAGGUAACAUCAAAUCGUACCCCAAACCGACACAGGUGGUCAGGUAGAGAAUACCAAGGCGCUUGAGAGAACUCGGGUGAAGGAACUAGGCAAAAUGGUGCCGUAACUUCGGGAGAAGGCACGCUGAUAUGUAGGUGAAGUCCCUCGCGGAUGGAGCUGAAAUCAGUCGAAGAUACCAGCUGGCUGCAACUGUUUAUUAAAAACACAGCACUGUGCAAACACGAAAGUGGACGUAUACGGUGUGACGCCUGCCCGGUGCCGGAAGGUUAAUUGAUGGGGUCAGCGCAAGCGAAGCUCUUGAUCGAAGCCCCGGUAAACGGCGGCCGUAACUAUAACGGUCCUAAGGUAGCGAAAUUCCUUGUCGGGUAAGUUCCGACCUGCACGAAUGGCGUAAUGAUGGCCAGGCUGUCUCCACCCGAGACUCAGUGAAAUUGAACUCGCUGUGAAGAUGCAGUGUACCCGCGGCAAGACGGAAAGACCCCGUGAACCUUUACUAUAGCUUGACACUGAACAUUGAGCCUUGAUGUGUAGGAUAGGUGGGAGGCUUUGAAGUGUGGACGCCAGUCUGCAUGGAGCCGACCUUGAAAUACCACCCUUUAAUGUUUGAUGUUCUAACGUUGACCCGUAAUCCGGGUUGCGGACAGUGUCUGGUGGGUAGUUUGACUGGGGCGGUCUCCUCCUAAAGAGUAACGGAGGAGCACGAAGGUUGGCUAAUCCUGGUCGGACAUCAGGAGGUUAGUGCAAUGGCAUAAGCCAGCUUGACUGCGAGCGUGACGGCGCGAGCAGGUGCGAAAGCAGGUCAUAGUGAUCCGGUGGUUCUGAAUGGAAGGGCCAUCGCUCAACGGAUAAAAGGUACUCCGGGGAUAACAGGCUGAUACCGCCCAAGAGUUCAUAUCGACGGCGGUGUUUGGCACCUCGAUGUCGGCUCAUCACAUCCUGGGGCUGAAGUAGGUCCCAAGGGUAUGGCUGUUCGCCAUUUAAAGUGGUACGCGAGCUGGGUUUAGAACGUCGUGAGACAGUUCGGUCCCUAUCUGCCGUGGGCGCUGGAGAACUGAGGGGGCUGCUCCUAGUACGAGAGGACCGGAGUGGACGCAUCACUGGUGUUCGGGUUGUCAUGCCAAUGGCACUGCCCGGUAGCUAAAUGCGGAAGAGAUAAGUGCUGAAAGCAUCUAAGCACGAAACUUGCCCCGAGAUGAGUUCUCCCUGACCCUUUAAGGGUCCUGAAGGAACGUUGAAGACGACGACGUUGAUAGGCCGGGUGUGUAAGCGCAGCGAUGCGUUGAGCUAACCGGUACUAAUGAACCGUGAGGCUUAACCUU
Molecule: ribosomal RNA, 2903 nt
Filed under: Escherichia coli
Lineage: Bacteria; Pseudomonadati; Pseudomonadota; Gammaproteobacteria; Enterobacterales; Enterobacteriaceae
Description: 23S ribosomal RNA
Rfam family: Bacterial large subunit ribosomal RNA
Source: RNAcentral